This 29-nucleotide ribosomal RNA is filed under the name Crudia lanceolata. RNAcentral's name for it is "partial 26S ribosomal RNA". Lineage: Eukaryota; Viridiplantae; Streptophyta; Magnoliopsida; Fabales; Fabaceae. The record is from RNAcentral.
GACGCGACCUCAGCUCAGGCGGGGCUACC